Molecule: long non-coding RNA, 1052 nt
Filed under: Pongo abelii (Sumatran orangutan)
Lineage: Eukaryota; Metazoa; Chordata; Mammalia; Primates; Hominidae
Description: lincRNA
Source: RNAcentral
GCCAUAGUAGGAAUUAGAGUGGGGGGGAGGGGGCGGAGGGGGGGAAUUACCAUUAGCAGUUGAAGUGGUAGGAAAUUUUUACAUAGGAGAGUAUGGUGAUCAUAUUUGCAUUUUAGAAAAUAAUGGAUAGCAGUUUGUUAGGGGAACAAAGGACAGAGACAGGGAGACUAUUUAAAACAUUAAUAAAAAAUGCCAGUGACAGAUGAUGAGGCAUCUACCUGAUGGGAACGGAGAAGAGGAGAUGGAUUCAGAAACUACUUAUGAGAGGCAGGCGGUCCAAGGCUGAUGCCCAAAGAAGCCAUCAAGACCCGUGCUACUUCCAGCUCCUUCUGUCCUCAUAAUCAUAGAUGAUUGCUCCACAUCCAGCACCUAACACCAGUACUCAGUUAAAUUUUUUGCUGAAUAAAUCAAUGAAUGGAGAGGUAAAGAGGAACCAGAAGUUGGGGUUACGGAAGUCACUGAUGGAAGAGUUUCAAGAUAGUAGAAGUGGUCAGCCCUGUUAAGUGACAAGCCAAGGACUGAAGAAAGGCUGGCAGAUUUGGCAAUCAGAUGAAGUGACCUGACCAAAGAGCAGCUUGUGUGAAGUAGUGAGGACAGGCGCUGGUCUGCAACGGGUUUAGGAGGAAAUGGAAAUGAGGAAGAAGAGAUAGGAAAGUGGAGAUUAUACAAUGGCAAGUAUCAAGAUGAAAAUGAACACAUUUGGCCUGCUACCUGAAUUUUUUAAAUCGGCUCACCAAAAAAUAUCAGGCUUAUUGAAAUAUUGGCAUAUCUGAUGAAGUUUCCUCUUAUCUUUGAGCUGUUUGGGUUUGGGUAAAACUUCAAUGCUUAAAAUUCACGUCUACAACUAGCAGGCAGAACCUUAAAGUCCAGAACAAUUAAAGGGUUUAAUAAUGGUGAGGCAUAUGAUGAUGCCGAUGAUGAUAAUGUUUCUUUCUUUCUUUUGUGAUCUUAAUCAUUGUGUGAUCUUAACUAGUUUGAAAUGAGAAUUUCAAUGGAGACAGUAGUGUAAAUUUACCAACAGAACAAUUACAGUCAAGACAAAACAAAAACUA